AUACGGAGGAUCCGAGCGUUAUCCGGAUUUAUUGGGUUUAAAGGGAGCGUAGGCGGGAGAUCAAGUCAGCUGUGAAAUGUAGACGCUCAACGUCUGCACUGCAGUUGAAACUGGUUUUCUUGAGUGCGUAAGGGGCAGGCGGAAUUUGUCGUGUAGCGGUGAAAUGCAUAGAUAUCACACAGAACACCGAUUGCGAAGGCAUCUCACAAAUCCGUGAUUGACGCUGAGGCACGAAAGUGUGGGGAUCAAACAGGAUUAGAUACCCUGGUAGUCCACACUGUAAACGAUGAUGACUCGCUGUCGGCGAUAUACAGUCGGUGGCCAAGCGAAAGCGAUAAGUCAUCCACCUGGGGAGUACGACCGCAAGGUUGAAACUCAAAUGAAUUGACGGGG
This 393-nucleotide ribosomal RNA is filed under the name uncultured bacterium. RNAcentral's name for it is "partial 16S ribosomal RNA". It matches the Rfam family "Bacterial small subunit ribosomal RNA", at positions 523 to 918 of the family's 1533-position model. The record is from RNAcentral.